RNAcentral lists this ribosomal RNA (424 nucleotides) under Sesamia jansei. RNAcentral describes it as "partial 16S large subunit ribosomal RNA". Lineage: Eukaryota; Metazoa; Arthropoda; Insecta; Lepidoptera; Noctuidae. The record is from RNAcentral.
GGGCUGCAGUAUAUUGACUGUACAAAGGUAGCAUAAUCAUUAGUCAUUUAAUUGGUGACUUGUAUGAAGGAUUGGAUGAGAUAUAAUCUGUCUCUUAAUUAUAAAAUAGAAUUUAAUUUUUUAAUUAAAAAGUUAAAAUAUGUUAAAAAGACGAGAAGACCCUAUAGAGUUUUAUAAUUUAAGAUAAUUAAGAUUAUUUAUAAAAUAAAAAUUGAAAUUAUUUUAUUUAUUUUGUUGGGGUGACAGAAAAAUAUAAAAAACUUUUUAUAUAGAAAAACAUUGAUAAAUGAUUAGAUGAUCCAAUAUUAUUGAUUAUAAGAAAAAAUUACCUUAGGGAUAACAGCGUAAUUUUUUUUUUUAGUUCACAUAAAAAAAAGAGUUUGCGACCUCGAUGUUGGAUUAAGAUAAAAUUUAAAUGCAGAAG